GAUGAACGCUGGCGGCGUGCCUAAUACAUGCAAGUCGAGCGAACAGACGAGGAGCUUGCUCCUCUGACGUUAGCGGCGGACGGGUGAGUAACACGUGGAUAACCUACCUAUAAGACUGGGAUAACUUCGGGAAACCGGAGCUAAUACCGGAUAAUAUAUUGAACCGCAUGGUUCAAUAGUGAAAGACGGUUUUGCUGUCACUUAUAGCUGGAUCGGCGCCGCAUUAGCUAGUUGGUAAGGUACCGGCUUACCAAGGCAACGGUGCGUAGCCGACCUGAGAGGGGGAUCGGGCACUGGGGAGGUGAGCGGCGAUACAGGCUCCGAGGGAAGGCCGAGGUAGGUACGGGACGCAACGGGCGAAAGCCUGACGGAGCAACGCCGAGUGAGUGGUGAAGGUCUUCGGAUCGUAAAACUCUGUUAUGAGGGAAGAACAAAUGUGUAAGUAACUAUGCACGUCUUGACGGUACCGAGUCAGAAAGCCACGGCUAACUACGUG
This 496-nucleotide ribosomal RNA is filed under the name uncultured bacterium. Its description in RNAcentral is "partial 16S ribosomal RNA". It matches the Rfam family "Bacterial small subunit ribosomal RNA", at positions 28 to 507 of the family's 1533-position model. The record is from RNAcentral.